CGUAAAGCGCGCGUAGGUGGCUUGAUAAGCCGGUUGUGAAAGCCCCGGGCUCAACCUGGGAACGGCAUCCGGAACUGUCAAGCUAGAGUACAGGAGAGGAAGGUAGAAUUCCCGGUGUAGCGGUGAAAUGCGUAGAGAUCGGGAGGAAUACCAGUGGCGAAGGCGGCCUUCUGGACUGAUACUGACACUGAGGUGCGAAAGCGUGGGUAGCAAACAGGAUUAGAUACCCUGGUAGUCCACGCCGUAAACGAUGUCGACCAGCCGUUGGGUGCCUAGCGCACUUUGUGGCGAAGUUAACGCGAUAAGUCGACCGCCUGGGGAGUACGGCCGCAAGGUUAAAACUCAAAUGAAUUGACGGGGGCCCGCACAAGCGGUGGAGCAUGUGGUUUAAUUCGAUGCAACGCGAAGAACCUUACCUACCCUUGACAUCCUGCGAACCCGGAAGAGAUUCCGGGGUGCCUUCGGGAACGCAGAGACAGGUGCUGCAUGGCUGUCGUCAGCUCGUGUUGUGAAAUGUUGGGUUAAGUCCCGUAACGAGCGCAACCCUUGUCCUUAUUUGCCAGCACGUAAUGGUGGGAACUCUAAGGAGACUGCCGGUGACAAACCGGAGGAAGGUGGGGACGACGUCAAGUCAUCAUGGCCCUUACGGGUAGGGCUACACACGUGCUACAAUGGCCGGUACAAAGGGUUGCAAACUCGCGAGAGCAAGCCAAUCCCAGAAAGCCGGUCUCAGUCCGGAUCGGAGUCUGCAACUCCACUCCGUGAAGUCGGAAUCGCUAGUAAUCG
Molecule: ribosomal RNA, 786 nt
Filed under: uncultured bacterium
Lineage: Bacteria
Description: bacterial SSU rRNA
Rfam family: Bacterial small subunit ribosomal RNA
Source: RNAcentral